RNAcentral lists this transfer RNA (37 nucleotides) under Regulus satrapa (golden-crowned kinglet). RNAcentral describes it as "partial tRNA-Phe". The record is from RNAcentral. Lineage: Eukaryota; Metazoa; Chordata; Aves; Passeriformes; Regulidae.
GAUGUCAAGAUGGCUGUUAAAUAUACACCCAAGGACA